UGAGUGUGAAAGCUAGGUUGAGGCUUAGGGCUUGGGAUGACGUGAAUGAGGAGAAACAGUGAGGAGCUGACAACAGUGAUGGGCUCCAGCACCCCCUGAGUGAUUUCUAUGCAGGAAGUAUGGUGGCCACCCUGGCGACAUGUAGAGACAUGGCAGGAUCCACCCUCCA
Unclassified non-coding RNA from Ursus americanus (American black bear), 169 nucleotides. Lineage: Eukaryota; Metazoa; Chordata; Mammalia; Carnivora; Ursidae. The record is from Ensembl.